This 497-nucleotide ribosomal RNA is filed under the name uncultured bacterium. RNAcentral's name for it is "partial 16S ribosomal RNA". It matches the Rfam family "Bacterial small subunit ribosomal RNA", at positions 28 to 507 of the family's 1533-position model. The record is from RNAcentral.
GAUGAACGCUGGCGGCGUGCCUAAUACAUGCAAGUCGAGCGAACGGACGAGAAGCUUGCUUCUCUGAUGUUAGCGGCGGACGGGUGAGUAACACGUGGAUAACCUACCUAUAAGACUGGGAUAACUUCGGGAAACCGGAGCUAAUACCGGAUAAUAUUUUGAACCGCAUGGUUCAAAAGUGAAAGACGGUCUUGCUGUCACUUAUAGAUGGAUCCGCGCUGCAUUAGCUAGUUGGUAAGGUAACGGCUUACCAAGGCAACGAUGCAUAGCCGACCUGAGAGGAUGAGCGGCCCCACUGGAACUGGGAGCAGGGCCGGACUCCUACGGGAGGCAGUAGUAGGGAAUCUUGCGCAAUGGCCGCAAGCCUGACGGAGCAACGCCGCGUGAGUGAUGAAGGUCUUCGGAUCGUAAAACUCUGUGAUUAGGGAAGAACAUAUGUGUAAGUAACUGUGCACAUCUUGACGGUACCUAAUCAGAAAGCCACGGCUAACUACGUG